GGACCCGCACAAGCGGUGGAGCAUGUGGUUUAAUUCGAUGCAACGCGAAAAACCUUACCUACACUUGACAUACUUCGAAUUUUCUAGAGAUAGAUUAGUGCCUUCGGGAGCGAAGAUACAGGUGCUGCAUGGCUGUCGUCAGCUCGUGUCGUGAGAUGUUGGGUUAAGUCCUAUAACGAGCGCAACCCUUACCCUUAUUUGCCAGCGGUUAGGCCGGGAACUAUAAGGGAACUGCCGGUAAUAAGCCGGAGGAAGGUGGGGACGACGUCAAGUCAUCAUGGCCCUUACGUGUAGGGCUACACACGUGCUACAAUGGCUAGGACAGACGGCCGCAAACCCGCGAGGGGGAG
This 350-nucleotide ribosomal RNA is filed under the name uncultured bacterium. RNAcentral describes it as "bacterial SSU rRNA". It matches the Rfam family "Bacterial small subunit ribosomal RNA", at positions 917 to 1267 of the family's 1533-position model. The record is from RNAcentral.